This 118-nucleotide ribosomal RNA is filed under the name Amphilophus citrinellus (Midas cichlid). Lineage: Eukaryota; Metazoa; Chordata; Actinopteri; Cichliformes; Cichlidae. The record is from RNAcentral.
GCUUUCUGUAUUUUAACUCUUAAGCUCUACAAAACAACCUGCCCUUUGGACUCUACAGGGUCCAGCCUGAUUAGUACUUGGAUGGUAGACUGCUUGGGAAUACCAGGUGCUGUAAGCU